RNAcentral lists this ribosomal RNA (498 nucleotides) under uncultured bacterium. Its description in RNAcentral is "partial 16S ribosomal RNA". It matches the Rfam family "Bacterial small subunit ribosomal RNA", at positions 28 to 507 of the family's 1533-position model. The record is from RNAcentral.
GACGAACGCUGGCGGCGUGCCUAAUACAUGCAAGUCGAACGAGAGCGACCGGUGCUUGCACUGGUCAAUCUAGUGGCGAACGGGUGAGUAACACGUGGGUAACCUGCCCAUCAGAGGGGGAUAACAUCCGGAAACGGGUGCUAAAACCGCAUAGGUCUUCGAACCGCAUGGUUUGAAGAGGAAAAGAGGCGCAAGCUUCUGCUGAUGGAUGGACCCGCGGUGCAUUAGCUAGUUGGUGAGGUAACGGCUCACCAAGGCCGUGAUGCAUAGCCGACCUGAGAGGGUGAUCGGCCACAUUGGGACUGAGACACGGCCCAAACUCCUACGGGAGGCAGCAGUAGGGAAUCUUCCGCAAUGGACGCAAGUCUGACGGAGCAACGCCGCGUGAGUGAAGAAGGUUUUCGGAUCGUAAAACUCUGUUGUUAGAGAAGAACAAGUGCUAGAGUAACUGUUAGCGCCUUGACGGUAUCUAACCAGAAAGCCACGGCUAACUACGUG